This 253-nucleotide ribosomal RNA is filed under the name uncultured bacterium. RNAcentral describes it as "partial 16S ribosomal RNA". It matches the Rfam family "Bacterial small subunit ribosomal RNA", at positions 524 to 776 of the family's 1533-position model. The record is from RNAcentral.
UACGAAGGGUGCUAGCGUUGCUCGGAAUUACUGGGCGUAAAGGGUGCGUAGGCGGUUCUUUAAGUCUGGGGUGAAAUCCCGGAGCUCAACUCCAGAACUGCCUUUGAUACUGAAGAGCUUGAGUUCGGGAGAGGUGAGUGGAACUGCGAGUGUAGAGGUGAAAUUCGUAGAUAUCAGGAGGAACACCGGUGGCGAAGGCGGCUUUCUGGACACUAACUGACGCUGAGACGCGAAAGCGUGGGGAGCAAACAGG